RNAcentral lists this ribosomal RNA (429 nucleotides) under Chloroflexota bacterium. RNAcentral describes it as "Chloroflexi bacterium partial 16S ribosomal RNA". It matches the Rfam family "Bacterial small subunit ribosomal RNA", at positions 355 to 776 of the family's 1533-position model. The record is from RNAcentral. Lineage: Bacteria; Bacillati; Chloroflexota. RNAcentral also lists the same sequence under 1 other name.
UAGGGAAUCUUCGGCAAUGGACGAAAGUCUGACCGAGCAACGCCGCGUGAGUGAAGAAGGUUUUCGGAUCGUAAAACUCUGUUGUUAGAGAAGAACAAGGACGUUAGUAACUGAACGUCCCCUGACGGUAUCUAACCAGAAAGCCACGGCUAACUACGUGCCAGCAGCCGCGGUAAUACGUAGGUGGCAAGCGUUGUCCGGAUUUAUUGGGCGUAAAGCGAGCGCAAGCGGUUUCUUAAGUCUGAUGUGAAAGCCCCCGGCUCAACCGGGGAGGGUCAUUGGAAACUGGGAGACUUGAGUGCAGAAGAGGAGAGUGGAAUUCCAUGUGUAGCGGUGAAAUGCGUAGAUAUAUGGAGGAACACCAGUGGCGAAGGCGGCUCUCUGGUCUGUAACUGACGCUGAGGCUCGAAAGCGUGGGGAGCAAACAGG